GAUGAACGCUGGCGGCGUGCCUAAUACAUGCAAGUCGAGCGUACGGACGAGAAGCUUGCUUCUCUGAUGUUAGCGGCGUACGGGUGAGUAACACGUGGAUAACCUACCUAUAAGACUGGGAUAACUUCGGGAACCCGGAGCUAAUACCGGAUAAUAUUUUGAACCGCAUGGUUCAAAAGUGAAAGACGGUCUUGCUGUCACUUAUAGAUGGAUCCGCGCUGCAUUAGCUAGUUGGUAAGGUAACGGCUGACCAAGGCAACGAUGCAUAGCCGACCUGAGAGAGUGAUCGGCCACACUGGAACAGAGACACGGACCAGACACCUACGGGAGGCAGCAGUAGGGAAACAUGCACAAUGGGCGAAAGACUGACGGAGCAACGCCGCGUGAGUGAUGAAGGUCUUCGAAUCGGAAAACUCUGUUAAGAAGGAAGAAAAGAUGUAUAACUAAAUGUGCACAUCUUGACGGUACCAAAUCAGAAAGCCAAGGCUAACUAAGUG
RNAcentral lists this ribosomal RNA (497 nucleotides) under uncultured bacterium. RNAcentral describes it as "partial 16S ribosomal RNA". It matches the Rfam family "Bacterial small subunit ribosomal RNA", at positions 28 to 507 of the family's 1533-position model. The record is from RNAcentral.